This 525-nucleotide long non-coding RNA is filed under the name Sander lucioperca (pikeperch). Its description in RNAcentral is "lncRNA (ENSSLUG00000017288.1)". Lineage: Eukaryota; Metazoa; Chordata; Actinopteri; Perciformes; Percidae. The record is from RNAcentral.
CUGUGAUCUAUCUCGUGCUGGCGGUAGAAUAGCUGUGUAGUCUGUUAGCUGCUGAUCUUAUUGGACCGUUUUAGGAGACAGAGCUCGAGAAUCCAGAGUGAGUCCAGCAGCCCCAGUGGAGAUCUGAGAGGAAUGGAGGAGGACAACCAGAACCAGGAGCAGCGGAGCAACCAGGUCCCCAGGAGACCAGCAGCAGACUGGGACUCUGAUACCAACGAGGUCCCCAGGAGACCAGCAGCAGACUGGGACUCUGAUACCAACGAAGUCCCCAGGAGACCAGCAGCAGACUGGGACUCUGAUAGCCGCCAUGUUCAGGACAAGAGAGGAAUGGAGGAGGACAACCAGAACCAGGAGCAGCGGAGCAACAAGGUCCUCAGAAGAGAAGCAGCAGACUGGGACUCUGAUACCAACGAGGUCCCCAGGAGACCAGCAGCAGACUGGGACUCUGAUACCAACGAGGUCCCCAGGAGACCAGCAGCAGACUGGAACUCUGAUAGCAGAAAUGUUCAGGUCAGUGUUCAGGAC